UACAGAGGGUGCAAGCGUUGUUCGGAAUUAUUGGGCGUAAAGCGCGUGUAGGCGGCUUGGCAAGUCGGGUGUGAAAGCCCUCAGCUCAACUGAGGAAGUGCGCCCGAAACUGCUGAGCUUGAGUGCCGGAGAGGGUGGCGGAAUUCCCCAAGUAGAGGUGAAAUUCGUAGAUAUGGGGAGGAACACCGGUGGCGAAGGCGGCCACCUGGACGGUCACUGACGCUGAGGCGCGAAAGCUAGGGGAGCAAACAGG
This 253-nucleotide ribosomal RNA is filed under the name uncultured bacterium. RNAcentral's name for it is "partial 16S ribosomal RNA". It matches the Rfam family "Bacterial small subunit ribosomal RNA", at positions 524 to 776 of the family's 1533-position model. The record is from RNAcentral.